This 201-nucleotide ribosomal RNA is filed under the name uncultured bacterium. Its description in RNAcentral is "partial 16S ribosomal RNA". It matches the Rfam family "Bacterial small subunit ribosomal RNA", at positions 328 to 537 of the family's 1533-position model. The record is from RNAcentral.
ACGCUCGACACCUACGGGAGGCUGCAGUUGGGAAUAUUGGACAAUGGAGGGAACUCUGAUCCAGUGACGCCGCGUGAAGGAAGAAGGUCUUCGGAUUGUAAACUUAUUUUAUCAGGGAAGAAAGAAAUGACAGUACCUGAAGAAGAAGGACCGGCUAACUACGCGCCAGCAGCCGCGGUAAUCUGAGCGGGCUGGCAAGGC